This is a non-coding RNA of Equus caballus (horse), 11147 nucleotides long. The record is from RefSeq and is a predicted model, not a curated record. Lineage: Eukaryota; Metazoa; Chordata; Mammalia; Perissodactyla; Equidae.
GUAAGUUUGAACCACCUCUGCCCGCGGACACAAAGACCUGGCGAGACAGAGAGAGCCGCGCGGAGCCCAGGGCGAAGCGAGGAGAGACGAAAGAGCCGAAGUUUCGCAGCGAAAUCAGAGAAAGCCAAGGCCAGGCGGAGAGAGCUGGUUCAGGCAACCACUGAGCCGAAGAGCGGCGCGGGGAGGCGGGGAGAGCCGAGGUUAGGCGGAAAGAGACGAAGAUGAAGGGAAAGAGACGAAGAUGCGAAGAAAGAGCGGAGGCCGGGCGGAAGGACCCGAGGCCUGGCGGGGAGAGCCGAGCGAAGCCGAAAAGCUGCGAGAAGUGGCGGAGAGAGCCGAGCCGAGGUUCCGUUGGGAAGAACGGAGAGGCCGUUGAGCGGUAGAGAGCGCGGAGGUUAGCGGCACCGCACAGGGAUGCCGAGGCGGGGACGGCGGAAAAUGAAGGCGGCUGGGCUGGAAGGAGCCGUGGAGGGCGAGCCCGGAGCCUUCCAGGCGCCCGAGCUGCCCCGAGCGCCCCUCGAAGAGGGUCGUGGUCGCCGGUCCCCCGCUACCCUCCUCCCCGCUCCUCCGGCCCCGCCGCUGCCCACGGUGCGGGGCGGUCUGGCCGGACAACGGCGUGUCCUCCGCCCACGACGAGGACGCGCGUGUCCCCACGGCUGGAUCCUUCGGACUUGAUGGCCCCGUUGAGUUUGGCGCUGAUGUCCCCAGCGGAGACUGACCCCUGGGGGUGCAGCCUCUGACUUUCGCUGAGCCCACCUACCCAACACAUGAGGAAGGCCGCUGGGGUGCAGUGACCGCGCCGGCUGACCGGGGGGUCUGGGAAGAGGCCCCCACAUCAUCCAAGACUGAGGCUGGAAUGCAAACUGUGGGCCCCUCCUGACCCUCUGCCCACUUCCAACACCAACGCCGGGUUCUCUUAUUCAUGGUUUUAAUUGUGUGCAACAGAAGGUUUGUUACAAUCCGAGCCUCUGGGAGGACGGGGACCUGGGCUUGGGGGUCCACUGAAGCUGCCUCUGUUAACCGUUGUCCAAAUCCGUUAUCAUUAGAGCGAUGCUCCUGCCUCUGAGGUCAGGGUCUACCUGAGUGCUGGAUUCAUGGAACUGUACCCUGGCUGCAGAGGGGAGGCUGCAAAUGGAAGUAUCUGGCAUUUUCUGCUUUUAGAUUGGGAAGCUGGUGUUUUCUCCUCCCAGGAUCAUAAAGUGGGGGAAGCCCUCAGACUAGAUAGGAGUUCAGUAGGUGAGAAACCAAAAACGACGGCAGAUGUCUCCUAGGAGACCCUGUACUUAAAGUUAAGAGGAACCGCUGGAGACCCAACAUGCCAGCAACUUUGGGAAUUUCUGCUCUAAUAGUUUCUAUUAAAGUUGCUGCACCUAGAAAGCAUGUGUUGGCCUUCGCAGUCUUCAGUGGGGUGGCCUCUACCCAUCCCAAUCUCUGGUUUUAUGACCCUUCCUAAGGACUGGACGAGUGUUUAUGUUGAAAAGACCUGGUGUCUAAGCAGGUCUGAGCUGACUGGAUGGCAGAGAACAAGAAGGGUGAUGGGAGACAUUGGUCCAAGGUCACUGAAGGUGCAAGUGGGACCCACAAAAGGUGGACCAGAGGAACUCAGAUGGCCAUCAACUAAUGAAUGGGUCUGCCUGAGCCAUGAAGACUGUCUGUGUACUUUGUAUGGCUGCUGCUGACGUCAGCCCUUCAGGUCGCACCUGGCACAAGAAGGUCACUUCCUGCGUGGAUUUCUCCCAUCCCCAGCUUGAGGGCAGAGGAGGUAGUGGGUUGCCAAAUGUCUGCCAAAAGUUCCUGUCCACCCUGAACGUCGGACUGUGAUCUUAUUUGGAAACAGAGUCUUUGUAGAUGUGAUUAAAGACCUGAGGAUGAUGAGCUCAUCCUGGAUAUCGGGUAGGGCCUGAGCUGAAUGACUGGUGUCCUUAUAAGAAGAGGAGAGGACACAGAGACAUGGAGGGGAGAAGAUCGUUUGAAAGACGGGGCAGAGGUCGUAGAUCUGCUGCCACAAACCAAGGAGGCAGGAACCGCCAGGAGCUGUAGGAGGUGGCCUCAAACCCUGUCAGCUGCUCCUGCCCUGUGACCUCACUCAGCUCCGCUUCCCAGAACUCCAGGUCUGGCAGGAAGGGCCUGGGCUGCCGGAAGCGGGAUUUAUACUCGGCUUCUGGCUGAACUGAAAGGGCCUCCCAGGGUGACACUUGCAGCCUUCAGCAAGGAGGAGGAAGAACCACCAAGGAAUUCAUGUGGCCCUUGUCUUACAGUGUUUCAGGGGAUGACGUUCAAAAUGCCAGGUGAUAACCCUGUAGCUCCUGGUCAUGAGGCGGGUUCUCAGGGUGAGCUCAGAGCAGUAUCAAUUCACUACCCAGAUGGGAAGCGUUUCAGUAUUUUAAUUGGUAAGGUUGUGUGUGUAGGCCCAUGUUCAUCAGUUUGGUGGCAUUCCCCUGCUAGACCCAUCUCUAUACUGGCACCUCUCAUGCCUUAUCUUUCAAAACUCCCAACAGGAAAGUUUCACAUCCCCAUAACACGUAACCACAUAACCACAGCACAAGACUGGGGAAAAGAACACAGCCAUCCUGGGGGCUAGAAGCUCUAUAGGAUUGAGCCCAGAUGACCCUUUAGGUCAAGCUGGUAACAAUAAGACUGAGCAUGUAAACUAUUGUUUGUCCGAGAGCAUGAACCUCAGAACCACAUGGGACCCUGGGCAGCAAGGGAGAGUGUGGGUCAUGCACUGCCCAGGAUUAAGGUGCGUUAUCCUGGGCAAACCAGAGCUCACGGCUGAUCCAUCAGGCCUGGCUAGGUAGGAAUGGCCACGUUGUACCUGACAGAGAGGCUGGGGCCUUAGGGAAUUUCUGCCCAAAAAGAAUUGUAGAAGGAAGUGAGGGAUGCUGGAAAUCUAGUUCACAGGGAGCAGUGAUGCUUAUGCAACAAAGCCCUGUUGUAGCUUUAAAAGCUGCAUCACAAAUCUUUCCCUCUGGAUAGGAAACAAGCAGGAAAAGGACUUCCAAGGUCAUGGACCAGGAUCCCGGGAGGAGUCCAAUCCAGGAAGGUGACCCCUAGUGCCACAUCUGAGUGACAGUUACGGGGUGACCAGGGCACUGGUUGAUGGUGACAUUUGCUUCCUUUUGUUCUUGGAAACUUCUAACAUCCAGUCAGGAAGGUCCACGAAGAAUCUAUUGGAUCCCCCGAUACUCUCAUUGCCAUCUGGGGCAUGUGCCCUGCCAACAAGGCAGCAGGUGAGAACCCCACUGGGUAUGUCAGCAGUGACCACUAUCAGGGCACAGUGGGGAGUCCCAGAGAGCACACAGUUCUGUCCCAGGUCCACCAUUCAUCCCAUGCUGGGCAGCCCUCAUGUCCACCUGGCCCAUGGGACCAUGCAGUGCCCACCUCAGGGGCUGGCAGGGUGCCCUGUCCUUGGACGUGCAGCCAAGACAGAAGGAGCAGCAGGUGCCUGGCUUCCUGAGGACAGACGGGGCUGCUUCAGGAAGAAAAGAGUCCCCACCCCCUCCAUCCACCCACAGCCUGGAGAGAGUCAAGUGCUGGCUGAUGGACCCGCAUGGGAGCCAGAGACCUGCUCAUCCUGCUGGCUCCUCUCCCUCCUGGACAGUCCAGCCAACACCCCUGGGCCCCAUGACCAAGGCCUCCUGUCCCUAACUGCCCCCACCCAUCCACGCAGCUAACACCCUCUUCCUGUCAAUCAGAACAAUAUAGACGGUUAUUCCUCAGAGAAACUUUAAGGGAAAAACUCAGCAAAGCGCAUCCUGCCUGCUCCCUCCUCCCCUCACCCUCCCCUCCUUCCAGAUCUGCAGCCUCCACUCACCUCCAUGAGCAGCUUCCUGCUCACCCGCUGGUCCUUGGUGCACAAUUUUGUAAAAUUUUUGAGAGCUCUUCCUGAGGGGGGAAAAGGAAUGAAAACCUGUGCAGUGGUUUAAGGGUAAACCCUGUGUCUUUGAAAACCCAGAAUAUCCAAACAUCCUGGAUGAGCAUUUUCCCUGGGUCCUCUGAGCCCUGGGGUCUCCACGGGACUGGGGAGGGGGCUCUCCCGGUGUCACCUGGGCCUCCAUUCCUGUAACUCCUCAGCAGAUGUGUUUUCAACAGUCGUGGUUUCAGUCGGAUGGAGAGUUCUGUUGCUGCAAAGCAAAUACUUGAAAAUCUUCAUUUUGCCUCAACCCAGGACCUGACGUUCAGGGACACUGAUUCCUGAAGCAGAAGCCCCCGGCCUAAGUUUCCAGAGAGACUCAGAGUCCGCCAGCCAGGUGAGUCUCUGUCACCAGGGUUUGCUGUCUCCAAGGUGGUGCCAGCUUACUGAGGGGGCAAUGCCAGCAUAUGGGGGGUGUCUGGUCUUCCCAGGUGAUGCUCACAUGAAGAGAGGCCUACCCACCUGGAAACAUGUCCCCAUGUCUUUUUGAGCCGAUGGAUCAUGCAGCUCUGCAGAGCAGAGAUGAUGGCAGAGUGAAGCAAAGUUCCUCAGGCCUUGGCACUCCUGGGGCAGGGAAGAGAGUGAGCUGGUGAGGAGAGCUGGAGCCCUGCUGCCUCUGGCUUCUGUUCCCUCAUGGACAUCUCCUGUCUUGGAUGAGACGCAUGCUGAGGAACCCAGUGAGGGCACCCCUGGGACCUGAUGAGUAGCAUUCCCAGGUUGGAGAAUUUGAGCUCAACCCAAGGAAGGAGCCCAGGAAGAAGUGAGCUUCCCACGCUGGGACCAGGAGUCAAGGUCAGUGAGGCCCCGGCAGGAGGGGCCUGGGGACUGUGCAAGGGCUCAGAGCACAGACUUCAAUCCUGAGAGCUGAGGAAGGAGAAGGGGCAGUUUCCAUGACUCCAGAGAGGGGCUCCCUGGGCCGCCCAGAAGGUACCUUGGACACCUGGAUCCAGAGCUCCACCACCCUGGCCCUGUCCUGGGCUGUCAUGCUCAGGUCCCCCAGGCAGGUGGUGACAACACAGUUGACCACUGUGAUAAACUGGGUGAUGGUGGCACGGAUGGUGCAUGCCAGGUGCUCAUUGCCCCUGCUGUCCCAUGGGGACCAGACGGAGUCCAGACAGUGGGGGGGAUCACUUUCUUGAACAGCUCCUGGGGAGGAAGAGAGUGUCACCCAGCCCUGUCACAUGCCUGCUCCAUGUCCACAGUCCACAGUCCCAGGCAGAGUCAGUGGUCAGAGCUGGAGCUCAGGAAGCUGAGGAUGUGGCCUGGGGCUUGUGGGGGUCCCUGGGUUUUGUCUAUGCCCACUGAGGGCACCCAGCACAGGAUGACCCAGGACCAAUAGUGUGGGGAAGGAAAGUGGCAUUCGCUCCCAGCCCAGUCUCACUACUCCAGGCACCAGAACCCCGCUGAUACUUGACGAACGCAAGGGGCAUCGUCCACCUUUUCUGAUCACCCUGGGGCCCGACUCCUCAUUCAGAUGUGCAGUCCUCCCAAGGAGUAACAAUCACAAUCUUUGUAUGUUUGUCUCCCAGGUAGUCAUUACAUAUGAGGUCCCUAAUAAUUGCUAAGGCUGUUGAUGCCUCCUGUGCAAAUGGAUGACCCACCCAAGGACCUGACAGCCCUUCAGUGACCUCCCCUCCCCCGCCAAAGGGCCAGACUCUGCCCACCUUCCUCUCUGUUCCGCCUCAUUCGUCUGCACAGCCGCUAUGCCUGGCAGAUGCUCUUUUGUCCAUGUCUAGUGUCUACAUGCGGACAGCACAGGCUUGGGAGUUAAGAGGUUGCCCAGGGCACAUGUGUGUAAGUGGGAAGCUGGGAUUGGAUGUAGGACAUGGGAUUCUGGAUCAGGAAACAGCAGGUCUUGGGCCUCUGAUGGCACAGGGAAGGCGGCCCCACCUGCCCUGAGAGCCCGGCUGCUCACCGCAUCCAUCAGUGUAAAUUGCUCUGCAAUCAGCUGGGGACGGAACCCAGGAAGUCAGGCUUCUCCUCCCACAGCAGGCUCUUGGUGGUCACAGCCGGGGCAGGUGGGCUCUGGGACUGGAUGGCUCUGAUGUAAUCUCUCCAGAUGGAGGAAGUGUUCUCCCUGGAGACAAGGGUCCAGCGGGCUCCAGCUGGAUCUGGCACUGGGGCUGGAGCUGUUGUUGGCAUGGCUCUGGCCCUGGGGGUACUGAUGGAGGUGACACUUGCUCCAGCUCUAGCACAGGUGGUAGAACUAGAAUUGGAGUGGCCCGGCCAUGGAGCUGGCCCUUGCUCUGGCUCUGGAGCUGGUGGGAGCUCUGGAGAUGGUCCUGGAGCAGCAUAAAGAAAAAGUAUCAUCAAGUAGAUGACCUCCCCUGAGUCUUUCCAAAGACAGGAAGGACCCACUGCCUUAAGGGAACCCAGCCCGUGAACCCCCUGCAAAUCAUCUUCCCAGACUGCAGGGCCCUCACCUUCCAGCUCUGCCUCCGGGCUCUGGAGGCUCCAGCUGGACUGGGAGGAGGGAGGCGUGGCCCUCCGCUCUGAGGUAGGCGAGCUCACGUGCACACGGGCCAGCUUCAUGUGCGAAGAGACGGCACUGGGGGAAGGCAUUGGGUAACAGAGUCAGAGGCCUGGUCUUUCCCUCCACACUGCCCACUGAAGGCCCCUUAUUUGGUCUGGGCCCCUGUGCCCCCCAUUCCAUCCAGAGGAGAGCCCCGCCCAGUCCCGCCCUGUGUGGCUGUCCUGGUGGUGGCAGGAUGCUCAUCCAGCAAGUUGAACACAGAGUCGUGUGAGUCUGUUCUUCCCACUGACUCUCUUCCUGAAGGGCUUGGACAAAGCCCACCCCAGCCCUCCAUGCAUUUAUGCAACUGGACUGAGGACUGAGGCAGAGUGGACCAUGUUGCUCACACACCUCCUGUUCUGGGCCUGCUGGGGUGGUCCGAAGAAGUGGAUGUGGAGAAGGUGAGGCAGAUCAAGAUAGGACUGUGGUGGGAUGGGUCUCUAGGGGACAGCCCAGCCCAGCCUCCACUCUGGUUCCCAGGGGUCCUGGGACCCAUCUACAGGUCUUUGAAUCCUGACCUCCUGGAAUGGAAGCCAUCAGACCUCAGCCUUCCAAUGAGAAUCAAAACAUGUGUGAGAUGCAGGGUUUUGCCAGCCUGGCCCCAGCCACCGUCCCCCAUUUCCCCCAACCCUGUUCUGUAGAGACAGGGGCCUCCUUCUGGACCCAGAGGCCACUCAUUUUAUUACGGCAUCCUGUGGUCUGCCCUCUGGUUUUGAUAAUGGAAGAUGCCUCCGAUGUAAAGGGGUGACGAGAGCACAUUUGGGAUGGCGAUGGACGACAGGACUUGCGAAUGAUGUCUAAUGUGACUUUGACUCUCAGAUACAACUGAGACCAGGGUUGUAUCUGUUGGACACCUGGAUUCACUGAGUUAUGCUAAGUGUCUCCAAAAAUCCUGCACUAGUAGGUGCUUCCAUACAUGGUUGAGUAAUGAAGUCCAGCCAGAAGCAUCCCAGAUGUCGAGUGGGCCUGGGGCCCCUCUGCUCCCCAGACAUCCUUAAUUGGCCCACCAAGCACAAGGACCAGACCAUCUCUCUGGAAUCUCAAACUCCUUGACAGGGUGCUGUCCGUGUGCUUUGCCAAACUCAGAAAGACCACAUCCCAGAGACGGGUGAGACAGACUACUUUCCAUGAGGAAGAACCAAUAAUAAAUGAACAACCACAGCUCACCCCACAGCCCCAUCUGCAGAGCCAGCACCAGGUCAGCACCCGCCAUGGCUGAUCCCAUUAGUCCCUCCAAGAACCCCAUGACGUUUAUCCUCUCCCACCCCGCUUUUCAGAGGAGCAAAGUGAGGCUCAGGGAGAUGCAGUGACAUUACAAGAAUUACAGCUGGCAGUGGGCAGUCACCCAGUAAACAGCUGGUCCAGGACCUGGGGGAUGUGUUGAAGGCCGAGUAGUUGAACACAAAGGUGGUGACAUUUGAGAUGUUUCUACCUAGGAAAGCUGGUGCCGUGGACUUUGUCAGUCUCCAUCAGGCCUGCUGGAGGGACCGCCACCGGCAGGCCUCAUUUAAAUUCACAAAGGGGUCAUCUUCACUCUGGGUGGAAGGAGGAGGGACACACAAAAAAUCAGUGGCAUCACCGUGAACCACUAGGAGGAUGGAGGUUACUUUCUUUCUGCCUAUGUAGCUGGUGGGGAGGAGGGGAGGUCGUGAUUCCUUUGGGAGUGGGACUGUGGGACACUCUAGUGAGAAAACACUGGGAGCGUCUCAGGGGAGUCUCAGAUUUGGGUCUGGAUUCUGGUACUGCCUCGGUCAUCUCAGGGUCCUGGGUGUGAAGACCCCUCUGCACCAAUGCAGAGAAAAGACCCGGCCCGGGUCAUUGUUGGUGGCCUGGAGCACCCGCCCCCUGUCCAGGGAGACGGCAUAGUUGAAACCAUUCACUAACUAUGUGACCAUCUUGUGGGUGCAGCUCUGCAAACACAGUGCCCGGGAGAAAGACCAGGAGGGAUCAGGGGCCUGCCUGGACCUCACCAGGGGGAACCCGCACCACAGAUCAGGCUCAGAGGGGCACCUGCAUAGACCUCCAGCCAGGGCUGGAAUGUGAUGACACCUGGUGGGCUUGGGAUUCACAUAGGGAUAAAGGAGCUCGGUCCCCAGCACUCAACUUCCUACCCUGCCAGGCAAGAUGUGGGGUAUGAAGAUGACCCAUUGCCAGACUUCCAACAUCUCACUACCUGCUCCUACCCGGGAUGUGUCCCCCCUCAUCCCCACCUUUCCUAAGUGCACCUCCCAAACACACACACACACCUUGAGCAUCAAGGGGUGUGGGGCUGGCCAGGUGGGAGCACAGUUGUGACCUGACCUGGAGUGGCCUGCCCUGGGUUGCCCUGUGUUGCCUGAGGGUUCCUCCUCCUGCCAAAAGGCCAGAGGUGUUAGAGGUGAGAGUUGAGUCAAUGUCUACAGCGGGUAAAAAGGCUCUCGUCAGAUUUCUAGAAGCCAGAGCUUCGGAAAGUUGCGGCACAACAUGAGAACAUCUUGUUCUCUUGAGUGCCUCCAUUCAAGUGAGCUGGAUGUGAGGCUGUGUCUAGAAUGUGGGUGCCUGGUAACCAAAGUUCUAAGUUCUGUUGGGGUCUGUCACCAAAGAAGUGAGGUCACUUCUCAAGGUUCCAUUAUCUGGGCCCCUUCCUUCAAUCAGACCCACCCAAAGACUCCUCUGGGCUGUUGACUGCUCAUCGCCCUUGCCCAUGUCAUCUCCAUAAUUGUACACAAAUAUCCAUCACUGCCCUCCCCACAGCGCUCUGGGAAUGGGACCAGGGCCCUAGCUUUGAGGAGACACAGCUGAGUUCAGACCUCUUUUUUCCUACCAAUUCUGAGUCCUGGAAAAGCCAUUUGUGCCUCUCAUGGCCUCCCCAGUCUCCCAACCUGCACAGUGGAGAUGGUGCUAAAACCAAUUUCCUAGGCACAUCAUCAGGUGUGUAUGUGACAAUACCUAUGACUUCUGUGGGUUAGAGUCACAUGUGUCUGAUACAGAAACUUAGAGAUGGAAGAUGGAAGAUUGAGACACUCACUGCCCCCUGGGCCUCAUUUUCAGGUCUGCACUUUUCAGGGGUUGAAAUUAGAAGAAAUUCAUAUAUUGUGAUCCACUGGCAAAAGUUUCCCAUGGUCUCCUGUUUUACUUAGAAUCAGACCCAAGUGCCUCAUGUCGGCCUGUGUGUGGGGCAGCCUCCACAAUGGCUCCCAGUGCUCCCUGCCUCCUGGAGUACACGUCCUUAUGUGACAGCUAAGUGGUUAGUAACUGGCUUCUGAUCAACAGAAUGCCCCCAAGAUGAUGGGAUGUCACUUCCAAGUUUUAAUUACGAAGAGCCUGUCACUUCCUUCUUACAGGCGUUCUUGGGUUCCCUCGUUCUCUCUCUCCUGUUUGCAACUCUCUCUCUGUCUUAUCUCUGGAACUGAGAGAGCAAGCACUGAUGCUUUCAGUUGCCCUGUGUAGAGGCUCCAUAGGAGAGAACUGAGGGGGUGCCCAGCCAACAGACAGGCAGGAACUCAGACUCUCAGUCCAAAUGAAUCCUGACAACACCCAUGUCAGCGAUCUUGGGUGGGAGUCCUCCCCCAGUUGAGCCCUGUUGAGACCGCAGCCCCUGCUUCAUAGAGAAUUUGAAGCUGAGGCACCCAGCUAAGCUCUGCCUGAUGCCUGGCCCACAGAAAGUGCAGGAUGUUAACUGUUUGUUCCUUAUGGGUGGAAGGUUUUGGAGCAAUGUUGUCAUAGAGGAACAGAAACUAACACAGUCCACCAUGUCCCACGAUCUGGCCCUAUCACCCUCCUCUCUCUUAUCAGGCUCUCUCCAGCCACACCUGCCACCUUUCUGACCUCCUCUGGUCAAACUCACUUCUUCCUGUGAAUCUCUGCACCAGGGGUGCCUUCUCCCUGACAUGCUAACUGUUCCCAGAUAUAGGCAGGGGUGGCUUACACUUGUCAUUCUGGCUACAGCAAAUAAUCACCUCAGUGAGGCCUUUCAGAACCUCCCAGCACAGUCUCACAUCCAGAGGUGCAUGACAUUAUUUCUUUUGUCUUGAUCACAUUUAGAUAAAGUUGAGUCCAUGAGGAAGGGCUGUCUGCUUUGUCUGAAGCAGAUGCAAAUCCUGGUUACACCAGGCACCCAGGUUGAAAUACCACCAGAUCCUGAAUUCAGUUACUGCUGAGAUCCUCCCAGCAAUUUGGUAAUUCAGUGGUUCUCCUGAGGUCACCUUUCCCCUGAGACCCAACUCCCAGCCAGCCCUUGGCUUAUUAGAUGAACAAUGAGAUUUUCUCAGAGACCUCCCAGCCAGGACAAGAAAUGUUUUGAAAUGUUCUCUGUAUUAAUUUUUAGGAAGUGGGGAUGCUGGCAGAAGUAAUUUGGGUGUGUAUGUACAAUAGUUUCUCUAUAGGUACUAUUCAGACAAAAUAGUGUGGCUAUGGGAUAUAUCAAGAAAAUGGAUAAAUUGAUCCAAUUUUUUCAUGAUGUGAAGUCUUUAGAGAUUAAAUAUCAUGGUUAAGAGCAUAGAAUAUGAGCCGACAUCUUAUGUUCAAACUCCAACUCAAUCGCUUACUGGUUAUUUGUAUUGAUCAAGUUACUUACCUUGUUGGUACCUCAGUUUCUUCAUCUGUCAGUUGACAGUAAUGAUAAGCGUACCUACUUUGUAAGGCCAUGGAGAGUACUAAAGGAGUUAAUGCUUGAAAAGUGCCUGUAACACCUAGCAUUUACAGCACUGUAUCUAUAUAUUAUGAAUAAAAUUUAAAAAUUGA